GUCCAGAUAGUGUAGGGGACUAUCAUGGGGCCCUGUCGAGGCCCCGACCCGGGUCCGAAUCCCGGUCUGGACG
This 73-nucleotide transfer RNA is filed under the name Methanimicrococcus blatticola. The record is from Rfam by way of RNAcentral. RNAcentral also lists the same sequence under 2 other names. Lineage: Archaea; Methanobacteriati; Methanobacteriota; Methanomicrobia; Methanosarcinales; Methanosarcinaceae.